This is a non-coding RNA of Chlorocebus sabaeus (green monkey), 2138 nucleotides long. Lineage: Eukaryota; Metazoa; Chordata; Mammalia; Primates; Cercopithecidae. The record is from RefSeq and is a predicted model, not a curated record.
GACGGAGAUUGCACCACUGUAGUCCAAACUGGGCAACAAAGUGAGACUCCUUCUUAAAAAAAAAAAAAAAGAGUGACUGUUUUUUCUGAGAACCAAGGAGGCCUGGGGGAGCAAACUCCUUUGGAGUUUGGGGAUGUGGUUGUGUGAGCUUGUAGGGGAGGGCAAACAGUGUGAGCUAUAGGGUGGUGGCCUGGGGAGAACAAGAAGGUCCUUCAGCAGCCUAGAUAGGGGGAAGCUGUUCGUCUCUUCGUGAGUGAGGGAAGUGGGGUUUUAUUCUAUGACCUUGGUUCCUUAAUUUGUAAAAUGGCGUUGGAGAAAGAUCUAGCUCAGGGGGUUGUAUAUUUAUAAACUGUGAAGUGCUAAAGUAAUUAAAUGCAUAACACAUAGACUUGGAGAAAUGGAAGUGCUAACGGCCUCCAUUAUAUUAAUUAUAUGCAUCACUGAGCACAUUGUAAUCAAUGGCAGCAUAUUAAUGAUAACAUUGGGCAUAUUGGGUUCUAGAAUCACUGAACUGGCACAGCAAGUAUUUCAGAGGCCAUCCAGCCUGGUCUUCCUUAUCUGAUGUUAGAAUUCUCUGUAAGAUAUUUGUGCUGAGAAGUACCAAUAUUUUCCUCAGUAAUACUGGGCAUGUUGAAUGUCAGAGUUCAGCCAGGGCCUUGGGAAAGUGGGUAAUCCUGCCUGUCUCCCAUGAGGCUUCCCUUGGUUGACCAGAACCACUCUUGCCCUCCUAGAUCCCUGAGCACAGACAGGUUUGGCAUCCAGAGUGGGCUGUGGUCAUCAUCUGAAUGGAAAAACCAGCUAUGAGUCAGGGCUUAGACUGGAGAAAAUUUCUAAGGAAGUGGAGCCAGCUGCUUACUUCCCCCAGGCCCAGCAGGAAAUUGAGCCUCACUGUCCCAAAUGUCAACUAAAAGGCAUCCAAGAGCCCUUGAUAUAACUUCAGACAUAAACAACAUAAGCAUAGGGUCCCACUUCCCUGGGAGUCACCUCCCCACCCACAUGAAGAUGGCACUGCUGCCACAGUCAUCUGUGACCCAAGAGUCAUCCUUUCCACUAUUCUUGGCACAAUCACCAAGAAACCACACCAGGGAAGAAUACUACCCCAUAGCUCUCCCCAGCCUUGCCCAGUGUGCCAGUGGUGAAGAAGCCAUUCCUUAGUGUUCUAGAACUUCCUCUGCAAAACAUAAUCAUGCAUAAGAAGAUGGUCCCCACUCCCAGCACAUCACAGCUCUGCUCCAGGGAACCUGCAGGGUGACAGGAGGCCAUCGAUCCUCUAGGAGAGAUGGGAGUCCCUCCCUUUUAUUCUCAUCCUCCUUCUGUCUCAGAUACAGUCCAUCUGGUUGGGGUAGAAAGUAACAAUAAACUCUUGUCUUAAUCCUUUUCACCCCCAAGCACAACUUCAAGCAGUAAGAAAUACAAUAUAAAACCUUCAUUCAAGAACCCUGUUCUCCCCAUCCUGAUGCAGGGGUGGCUCUGUUGGAACAAGAGUGGCUGGCCAGGCCUUUUGAACCACGGGAGAAGAUGUUCUGGGGUCAACUUCAAGACAGGACUGGCAGUACUGGGACAUUUGGCUGAGAAUCGGGGGCCUGCCCAGAUAAGAAAACUGAGACACAGAAAAGUCACACAAGAUUAUUGAGGUCAACACAGAGAACAGUGGAACCAGCACCGGACCCCAGGCAGGCAGAGCCUUCAUGACCACACCACACGGCCACAAGGAGCGGGCAGGGAAGACAGUGGGGCUAGCAGGACAAAAAUGACAAUUCCCAGAGUUUCUUGCUGUUUGGAUCUGGCUGCAGUUUCGGUUUUGCCAACAAGCGGCAUUUCCAUGAGCUCUGGACAGUGGCAGAGAGGCAGAGGCGUUCCUCUGCAGUGUGUUGGACGGUCCGCGGGCUCCUGCCAACGUGAGGAUUUGCAGCAACUGGUAUAUCCACGGUCUUGUCACCAGCUUCCUGAAUGCAGGGCAGCUGGAGCCACACCAGUGGUCCUUGCAGGGGCAGCAGCUGUCUCCUGGUCUCAGGCUCACAGCUGUGGGGAUGUGACCUUAAACCUAAAGCCUAGCAGUGGUCCUGACGUUCAUUUGUCUAGGACCUCUGAUCACUCUGUAAGUCACUAUUUCCCUUAUUAAAUCUCUUUCUGCUGGA